GGAAAGUUGGGUGAGCGGCUUAAACCAAGAGUUUGCUAAACUCUCGAUCGAGUAAUCGGUCCAGUGGUUCGAAUCCACUACUUUCCG
RNAcentral lists this transfer RNA (87 nucleotides) under Clostridiales bacterium. RNAcentral describes it as "tRNA-Ser". It matches the Rfam family "tRNA". Rfam says of the family: Transfer RNA (tRNA) molecules are approximately 80 nucleotides in length. Their secondary structure includes four short double-helical elements and three loops (D, anti-codon, and T loops). The record is from RNAcentral. Lineage: Bacteria; Bacillati; Bacillota; Clostridia; Eubacteriales.